RNAcentral lists this long non-coding RNA (666 nucleotides) under Heterocephalus glaber (naked mole-rat). Its description in RNAcentral is "lncRNA (ENSHGLG00100045628.1)". The record is from RNAcentral. Lineage: Eukaryota; Metazoa; Chordata; Mammalia; Rodentia; Bathyergidae.
CACAAAUGCAAGACCAACAAAUUGCAUCAGAGACAGAUGAUGUGGUCUCUGGCACAUGCCUAAACCAGUCUGUGUACAGGACUACACCAGCCUGGAGUUUAGGGAGAACAUGAGUCGAACUCGGGACCUAGCAGUUGCAAGGCAGGUACCUGAACCACUGAGCUAAAUCCUGGGUCCUUUCAUGGAUUUUCUUAAAUCAGAGGAAGAUACACCGAAGACACUGAGGUUACCUUCAAAAGAGCAGAUGGAUUAAUUCAGAGAAGGGAGAAUAAUGAUUGUGGUGAUGGAGGAGUUUUGGAGCUCAGGAGAAAGAACAACAGUGGAACUCUGCCAAGGAAGGAGGACAGAAAUUGGAGGAGAGAUUUCUUUCAUUAAGAUCCAUCAUCUUUGACCCAAAAUCAGUGUCCUGACAUAACAAAAGAUAGUAGUAUAUUUUUUCUGCCACUGCAAGUAGCUUUUACUCACUUCCUUCUAGAUUUAUAAGCAGUUAGAAGUUUUGAAAAUUUUUCAUUUGGGGAGUGAAAUGGAAACUUGUCUGAACUUGCUGAUACCUGCAAAUCCCAUAAGAUUUACUUAGACAAAAUAAUAGAUCUGUAUUUCAUAGCCUUAUGUCCAAGGCUUCAUGUCCACAAAAACCCUUAUGCAAUAAACAUGUGUAGAAAUGGA